RNAcentral lists this ribosomal RNA (271 nucleotides) under uncultured bacterium. RNAcentral describes it as "partial 16S ribosomal RNA". It matches the Rfam family "Bacterial small subunit ribosomal RNA", at positions 333 to 618 of the family's 1533-position model. The record is from RNAcentral.
UUUGCCCUACGGGAGGCAGCAGUGGGGAAUAUUGGGCAAUGGGCGCAAGCCUGACCCAGCAACGCCGCGUGAAGGAAGAAGGCUUUCGGGCUGUAAACUUCUUUUCUUGGGGACGAAGAAAGUGACGGUACCCAAGGAAUAAGCCACGGCUAACUACGUGCCAGCAGCCGCGGUAAUACGUAGGUGGCAAGCGUUAUCCGGCUUUAUUGGGGGUAAAGGGCGUGUAGGCGGGAUUGCAAGUCAGAUGUGAAACCCACGUGCUCAACCUGUG